UACGAAGGGGGCUAGCGUUGUUCGGAAUUACUGGGCGUAAAGCGCGCGUAGGCGGCCGGUCAAGUCGGGGGUGAAAUCUUUCAGCUUAACUGGAAAAGUGCCUCCGAUACUGAUCGUCUCGAGGGAGGUAGGGGCAUGUGGAACUUCCGGUGGAGCGGUGAAAUGCGUAGAUAUCAGGAGGAACACCAAUGGCGAAGGCAGCUCGCUGGGACGUGACUGACGCUGAGACGCGAAAGCGUGGGGAGCAAACAGG
RNAcentral lists this ribosomal RNA (253 nucleotides) under uncultured bacterium. RNAcentral's name for it is "partial 16S ribosomal RNA". It matches the Rfam family "Bacterial small subunit ribosomal RNA", at positions 524 to 776 of the family's 1533-position model. The record is from RNAcentral.